AUGGAAUAUAAAUAGAGGCAGCAGAAAACAGAAAGGGAGUUCUCAAUCUCAAUCAGAAACCUAAUUUCACUUUCACAUACACAUUCUUCAUAGCCGUCUUGAAGAACAGAGCAUCAGCACAAAAGGGGAAUCCUCAGCCAAAGUUUCACAAGUCCAAAGCUGCAGAAAAUCCUUUUCAGUUCUUUUGUUCUAUAUCUUUAAGCGGACUUUUCAUGUUCUUUCAUUUUAUUUUCAUUAUGUUUGUUA
This 246-nucleotide unclassified non-coding RNA is filed under the name Hevea brasiliensis (rubber tree). The record is from RNAcentral. Lineage: Eukaryota; Viridiplantae; Streptophyta; Magnoliopsida; Malpighiales; Euphorbiaceae.